This 253-nucleotide ribosomal RNA is filed under the name uncultured bacterium. RNAcentral's name for it is "partial 16S ribosomal RNA". It matches the Rfam family "Bacterial small subunit ribosomal RNA", at positions 524 to 776 of the family's 1533-position model. The record is from RNAcentral.
UACGUAGGGGGCAAGCGUUGUCCGGAUUUAUUGGGCGUAAAGAGCGUGUAGGCGGCCAGGUAGGUCUGCUGUGAAAACUCGAGGCUCAACCUCGAGACGUCGGUUGAAACCGUCUGGCUAGAGUCCGGAAGAGGAGAGUGGAAUUCCCGGUGUAGCGGUGAAAUGCGCAGAUAUCGGGAAGAACACCCGUGGCGAAGGCGGCUCUCUGGGACGGUACUGACGCUGAGACGCGAAAGCGUGGGGAGCGAACAGG